Molecule: long non-coding RNA, 653 nt
Organism: Homo sapiens (human)
Lineage: Eukaryota; Metazoa; Chordata; Mammalia; Primates; Hominidae
Exons: 3
Source: RefSeq, a predicted model, not a curated record
ACCAUUCAGAACUGCCCUCUGCCCCGUGCCAAGCAGAAAAAGUGUGAGGUCUGCGAGUCAUCCUGCUACAGCCGGAGACUCAGCCUGAACCAGUCAGCGUGAAUGUGAGACCCUGCGAACAUGGAGGCCGGUAAAGAGGGGGAAUUUCAUGCGGAGAAGAGCAGCCUGUUCACUUCUAAACACCAUUUUCUGAAAAGGACAAAUGGAAAGAGUGGCUUGAAUCGAAGUACUCCCAGAUGGCCACAGUGGCAAGCUUUGUCCCCAGGCUUCCCACCCACAGCUCUGCACCACCUCUCCUGCACCUGCCACUGUCCAUACCAGGGGCACUGGCAAGCCAGGCACUUCAGUAGUCUUGGAAUGGAAUGCACUCAAGAGUCCUGCAGGGCAUCACUGUUAGUUCCACCCGUGAUACUUGUUCUAGUCAGCCAAACUGUUUUUCUUAAACUAGUUUGAAUUUCAGUUAUGUUACCCAAAGAAUCAUGAUUAAUGUAGCCGUGCCAUGUAUUAUUCAAUAUUUUUCUUUUACUAAACAAUGUAAGGAAAAAAAGCAGGAAAGAGCCAGCAAUGUAAGGAGAAUGUACUGGCUUUGAGAUAUUGUCAAAAUCCUAUUCUAAUUCUUUUAAAUAAACUGUUAUUGUUGUUGUUGUUGUUGA